RNAcentral lists this ribosomal RNA (1683 nucleotides) under Escherichia coli. Its description in RNAcentral is "partial 23S ribosomal RNA". It matches the Rfam family "Bacterial large subunit ribosomal RNA", at positions 1252 to 2915 of the family's 2925-position model. The record is from RNAcentral. Lineage: Bacteria; Pseudomonadati; Pseudomonadota; Gammaproteobacteria; Enterobacterales; Enterobacteriaceae.
GAAGGUGUGCUGUGAGGCAUGCUGGAGGUAUCAGAAGUGCGAAUGCUGACAUAAGUAACGAUAAAGCGGGUGAAAAGCCCGCUCGCCGGAAGACCAAGGGUUCCUGUCCAACGUUAAUCGGGGCAGGGUGAGUCGACCCCUAAGGCGAGGCCGAAAGGCGUAGUCGAUGGGAAACAGGUUAAUAUUCCUGUACUUGGUGUUACUGCGAAGGGGGGACGGAGAAGGCUAUGUUGGCCGGGCGACGGUUGUCCCGGUUUAAGCGUGUAGGCUGGUUUUCCAGGCAAAUCCGGAAAACUAAGGCUGAGGCGUGAUGACGAGGCACUACGGUGCUGAAGCAACAAAUGCCCUGCUUCCAGGAAAAGCCUCUAAGCAUCAGGUAACAUCAAAUCGUACCCCAAACCGACACAGGUGGUCAGGUAGAGAAUACCAAGGCGCUUGAGAGAACUCGGGUGAAGGAACUAGGCAAAAUGGUGCCGUAACUUCGGGAGAAGGCACGCUGAUAUGUAGGUGAAGCGACUUGCUCGUGGAGCUGAAAUCAGUCGAAGAUACCAGCUGGCUGCAACUGUUUAUUAAAAACACAGCACUGUGCAAACACGAAAGUGGACGUAUACGGUGUGACGCCUGCCCGGUGCCGGAAGGUUAAUUGAUGGGGUCAGCGCAAGCGAAGCUCUUGAUCGAAGCCCCGGUAAACGGCGGCCGUAACUAUAACGGUCCUAAGGUAGCGAAAUUCCUUGUCGGGUAAGUUCCGACCUGCACGAAUGGCGUAAUGAUGGCCAGGCUGUCUCCACCCGAGACUCAGUGAAAUUGAACUCGCUGUGAAGAUGCAGUGUACCCGCGGCAAGACGGAAAGACCCCGUGAACCUUUACUAUAGCUUGACACUGAACAUUGAGCCUUGAUGUGUAGGAUAGGUGGGAGGCUUUGAAGUGUGGACGCCAGUCUGCAUGGAGCCGACCUUGAAAUACCACCCUUUAAUGUUUGAUGUUCUAACGUUGACCCGUGAUCCGGGUUGCGGACAGUGUCUGGUGGGUAGUUUGACUGGGGCGGUCUCCUCCUAAAGAGUAACGGAGGAGCACGAAGGUUGGCUAAUCCUGGUCGGACAUCAGGAGGUUAGUGCAAUGGCAUAAGCCAGCUUGACUGCGAGCGUGACGGCGCGAGCAGGUGCGAAAGCAGGUCAUAGUGAUCCGGUGGUUCUGAAUGGAAGGGCCAUCGCUCAACGGAUAAAAGGUACUCCGGGGAUAACAGGCUGAUACCGCCCAAGAGUUCAUAUCGACGGCGGUGUUUGGCACCUCGAUGUCGGCUCAUCACAUCCUGGGGCUGAAGUAGGUCCCAAGGGUAUGGCUGUUCGCCAUUUAAAGUGGUACGCGAGCUGGGUUUAGAACGUCGUGAGACAGUUCGGUCCCUAUCUGCCGUGGGCGCUGGAGAACUGAGGGGGGCUGCUCCUAGUACGAGAGGACCGGAGUGGACGCAUCACUGGUGUUCGGGUUGUCAUGCCAAUGGCACUGCCCGGUAGCUAAAUGCGGAAGAGAUAAGUGCUGAAAGCAUCUAAGCACGAAACUUGCCCCGAGAUGAGUUCUCCCUGACUCCUUGAGAGUCCUGAAGGAACGUUGAAGACGACGACGUUGAUAGGCCGGGUGUGUAAGCGCAGCGAUGCGUUGAGCUAACCGGUACUAAUGAACCGUGAG